Molecule: ribosomal RNA, 241 nt
Filed under: uncultured Staphylococcus sp.
Lineage: Bacteria; Bacillati; Bacillota; Bacilli; Caryophanales; Staphylococcaceae
Description: partial 16S ribosomal RNA
Rfam family: Bacterial small subunit ribosomal RNA
Source: RNAcentral
CGGACGGGCGAGUAACACGUGGAUAACCUACCUAUAAGACUGAGAUAACUUCGGGAAACCGGAGCUAAUACCGGAUAAUAUAUUGAACCGCAUGGUUCAAUAGUGAAAGACGGUUUUGCUGUCACUUAUAGAUGGAUCCGCGCCGCAUUAGCUAGUUGGUAAGGUAACGGCCUACCAAGGCAACGAUGCGUAGCCGACCUGAGAGGGUGAUCGGCCACACUGGAACUGAGACACGGUCCAG